RNAcentral lists this ribosomal RNA (518 nucleotides) under uncultured Gigaspora. RNAcentral describes it as "SSU rRNA". It matches the Rfam family "Eukaryotic small subunit ribosomal RNA", at positions 569 to 1092 of the family's 1831-position model. Lineage: Eukaryota; Fungi; Glomeromycota; Glomeromycetes; Diversisporales; Gigasporaceae. The record is from RNAcentral.
AGCAGCCGCGGUAAUUCCAGCUCCAAUAGCGUAUAUUAAAGUUGUUGCAGUUAAAAAGCUCGUAGUUGAAUUUCGGGGUUCUACCGUUGGUCGGGCAAUAGUCUGUACUGGCGUGUGGAAUUUCUACCUUCUGGGGAACCAUCAUGUUAUUAAUUUAGCGUGGUGGGAAACCAGGACCUUUACCUUGAAAAAAUUAGAGUGUUCAAAGCAGGCUUACGUCUGAAUACAUUAGCAUGGAAUAAUAAAAUAGGACGGUGGUCCUGUUUUGUUGGUUUCUGAAUCACCGUAAUGAUUAAUAGGGGUAGUUGGGGGCAUUAGUAUUCAAUUGUCAGAGGUGAAAUUCUUGGAUUUAUUGAAGACUAACUUCUGCGAAAGCAUUUGCCAAGGAUGUUUUCAUUAAUCAAGAACGAAAGUUAGGGGAUCGAAGACGAUCAGAUACCGUCGUAGUCUUAACCAUAAACUAUGCCGACUAGGGAUCGGACGAUGUUAAUUUUUCUUGACUCGUUCGGCGCCUUACG